RNAcentral lists this long non-coding RNA (471 nucleotides) under Homo sapiens (human). RNAcentral's name for it is "HSALNT0404310". Lineage: Eukaryota; Metazoa; Chordata; Mammalia; Primates; Hominidae. The record is from RNAcentral.
UUUAGUAGAGAUGGGUUUCACCAUGUUGGCCGGGCUGCUGUCAAACUCCUGACCUCAAGUGAUCCACUCACCUCAGCCUCCAAAAGUGCUGGGAUUAUAGGUGUGAGCCACUGCACCCAGCCUUCUCUCCCUCUUUUGUUUCUCCUUACUUCCCUCUUCUCUUCCCUCCCUCUCUCCCUCUUUCUUUCCUUCCUUCCUAAUAUAUUUUUUGCUGAGUACCUAUAAUGUGCCAUGCAUACUCUAGACCCUGCGAAAGGACUCACCUCAAGGAAUUCACAUUCUCGACAAGGGGAGACAGACACAAAGAAAUAAGCAGGGGGUACCUGUGCAGACUCGUUCCCUGAGUAAAUUGUGCAUCGUGGGAGUUUGGUGUACAGAUUAUUUCAUCACCCAGGAACCAGCAUGAGACGCAGUAGGUAGCGUUUUGAUCCUCACCCUCCUUCCACCGUCCACCCUCAAGUAGACUCCAGC